CCUACGGGAGGCAGCAGUGGGGAAUUUUGGACAAUGGGCGCAAGCCUGAUCCAGCAAUGCCGCGUGAGUGAAGAAGGCCUUCGGGUUGUAAAGCUCUUUUUGUCAGGGAAGAAACGGUCUACUCUAAUACAGUGGGCUAAUGACGGUACCUGAAGAAUAAGCACCGGCUAACUACGUGCCAGCAGCCGCGGUAAUACGUAGGGUGCAAGCGUUAAUCGGAAUUACUGGGCGUAAAGCGUGCGCAGGCGGUUAUAUAAGUCAGAUGUGAAAUCCCCGGGCUCAACCUGGGAACUGCAUUUGAGACUGUAUGGCUAGAGUGUGUCAGAGGGGGGGUAGAAUUCCACGUGUAGCAGUGAAAUGCGUAGAUAUGUGGAGGAAUACCGAUGGCGAAGGCAGCCCCCCUGGGGAUAACACUGACGCUCAUGCACGAAAGCGUGGGGGAGCAAACAGGAUUAGAUACCCUGGUAGUCCACGCCCUAAACGAUGUCUACUAGUUGUCGGGACUUAAUUGUCUUGUACGCAGCUAACGCGUGAAGUAGACCGCCUGGGGGNGGUACGGUCGCGAGAAGUUAAAACGUUAAAAGUAAAGUUAGUACGGCGUGAGCGUGCCGACGGACGACGACGAGGGGAGGGUUAGGG
Molecule: ribosomal RNA, 639 nt
Filed under: uncultured bacterium
Lineage: Bacteria
Description: bacterial SSU rRNA
Rfam family: Bacterial small subunit ribosomal RNA (bases 1-545)
Source: RNAcentral